AUGCCCAUGAGGAUAUCGGAUAUAAGAAACACCAUCUUUUGGGACUGAAUGGCUCAACGCUUUGGUGACAUAGUCUUCAAUUCUGAUGCUU
This is a small nucleolar RNA of Papaver somniferum (opium poppy), 91 nucleotides long. RefSeq annotates it as small nucleolar RNA SNORD96 family. The transcript has a single exon. The record is from RefSeq and is a predicted model, not a curated record. Lineage: Eukaryota; Viridiplantae; Streptophyta; Magnoliopsida; Ranunculales; Papaveraceae.